CUCUCGCGCCUCCCCUUUCGCAUCUGGCGCUAUUCCUCACCGCCUCGUCUCCCGCGAGGUGAAAAGGCCGGCGACAGUUCAGAUCGCAGCCCCUCUACUCCGCGCUAGUUUCCCCACUGCCCUAUCUUCCUUCUCCCCUUCUCUAUUUGAGGGAACCAACUUUCAUAUCUCUACCGGCAGCAAGAUGAGAGGGACGUCGCCGAAGAACAGCGAUGGUGGGCAUUGAGGACGUGAAGCCCUUCAUGAAUCUUGGUCAGUAGUGAUCCAGCGAGGUCAAGAUGCUAAUUCUUCAACAACCAUAACAAUGCAUCAAUACAACACAAAGUUUUCCUCUUAAGGGCACGGCAUAACAAAGAAAUAACAAACUAUGCAUAGGGAGUUACCAUUUCCUUCAAGCUGCAUUGCAGGUCUAUGCUUUCUCACUUUUCUUAAUUUUUGAUUUCACAAACUUUCAUAUUAGCAUGUGACCAGCAGCCACCAUAUCAAUAUGAAGGAAGUGUUAUUUCGUGCAGUCUUAAUGCACGAGGAAACCAGUCUUGGUGGUAUCUUGGAUGCACCUCUUUGAAGAAAGGUCAUUCCCAAGAGGAAAUUGUUGUAUCUGGUCCAGUUGUUUGGUCAAAGCUACAAAAUCAAGGUAUUGAAUUCCGGAAUGGGACGUUCAUCCUUCAGCCCUAAGACAUGAAGGGGCGUAAACUGCCAAUUUAUUGUUGAGUUGGGAGAUAUUGGUGGACAGCUAUUACGAGCAGUGGUGGACCGGUAGCACAUAUCAUGUGCUUAUACAAAAUUAAAAAUCUAUUAGAAACCAUUUUUGAAACGGUUAAAGAUCUUAGUGAUUGCAAUAUAUACGUGGUUUGUUUCCUGAAA
Setaria italica (foxtail millet) is the source of this 864-nucleotide long non-coding RNA. RefSeq lists it as uncharacterized. The record is from RefSeq and is a predicted model, not a curated record. Lineage: Eukaryota; Viridiplantae; Streptophyta; Magnoliopsida; Poales; Poaceae. The transcript is spliced from 5 exons.